This 259-nucleotide ribosomal RNA is filed under the name uncultured bacterium. Its description in RNAcentral is "partial 16S ribosomal RNA". It matches the Rfam family "Bacterial small subunit ribosomal RNA", at positions 355 to 630 of the family's 1533-position model. The record is from RNAcentral.
CAGGGAAUAUCGCACAAUGGACGGAAGUCUGAUGCAGCGACGCCGCGUGGACGAAGAAGGCCUUCGGGUUGUAAAGUCCUUUUCAGGGGGAAGAGAGAGGACGGUACCCUUGGAAUAAGCGUCGGCUAACUACGUGCCAGCAGCCGCGGUAAGACGUAGGACGCGAGCGUUAUCCGGAUUUACUGGGCGUAAAGCGUCUGUAGGCGGGACAGUAAGUUGGGCGUGAAAGCUUCGGGCUUAACCCGGAGAGGACGUACAA